This 410-nucleotide ribosomal RNA is filed under the name Epyris sp. Its description in RNAcentral is "partial large subunit ribosomal RNA". The record is from RNAcentral. Lineage: Eukaryota; Metazoa; Arthropoda; Insecta; Hymenoptera; Bethylidae.
CUCUUUAUGAAUAAAAUAAUAAGUUGACUCUGCCCAAUGAAUUUUAAAUGGCUGCAGUAUUUUAACUGUACAAAGGUAGCAUAAUAAAUUGUUUUUUAAUUGAAAACUAGAAUGAAAGAGGUGAUGAAAUAUAUACUUUAUUAAAUUUAAUUUUUGAAUUUGAUUUUAAAGUAAAAAAGCUUUAAUAGUUUUAAGGGACGAGAAGACCCUGUAGAAUUUUAUAUUAUUUUUAUUAAUAUAAAUAAUAAAAAUAAUAUUUGUUUGGGAGGGAUGUUAAAUUUAUAAACUUUAAUUAAUAAUUUACAAAUUUAAUUGAAUUAAUUUAGAAUUUAUAAAAUAAGUUUAAAAUUAAAUUACCUUAGGGAUAACAGCGUAAUAUUAUUUUAUAGUUCAUAUUGAAAAUAAUGUUU